UGUCCAAAAUUAGGGAAUUCGUGCGUCC
Molecule: small RNA, 28 nt
Filed under: Bombyx mori (domestic silkworm)
Lineage: Eukaryota; Metazoa; Arthropoda; Insecta; Lepidoptera; Bombycidae
Description: ovarian small RNA-8995
Source: RNAcentral